This 2900-nucleotide ribosomal RNA is filed under the name human metagenome. Its description in RNAcentral is "bacterial LSU rRNA". It matches the Rfam family "Bacterial large subunit ribosomal RNA". The record is from RNAcentral.
UUAAGUUAAUAAGGGCGCACGGUGGAUGCCUUGGCACUAGGAGCCGAAGAAGGACGUGACAAACGACGAAAUGCCUCGGGGAGCUGUAAGUAAGCUUAGAUCCGGGGGUGUCCGAAUGGGGGAACCCAACAGGUAAUGCCUGUUACCCAUAUCUGUUAAGGAUAUGAGGAGGAAGACGCAGUGAACUGAAACAUCUAAGUAGCUGCAGGAAGAGAAAGCAAAAGCGAUUGCCUUAGUAGCGGCGAGCGAAACGGCAGGAGGGCAAACCGAAGAGUUUACUCUUCGGGGUUGUAGGACUGCAAUGUGGACUUAAAGAUUAUAGAAGAAUGACAUGGGAAGGUCAGCCAAAGAGAGUAAGAGCCUCGUAUUCGAAAUAGUCUUUAUACCUAGCAGUAUCCUGAGUACGGCGGGACACGAGAAAUCCCGUCGGAAUCUGGGAGGACCAUCUCCCAACCCUAAAUACUCUCUAGUGACCGAUAGUGAACCAGUACCGUGAGGGAAAGGUGAAAAGCACCCCGGGAGGGGAGUGAAAUAGAACCUGAAACCGUGUGCCUACAACAAGUUCGAGCCCGUUAAUGGGUGAGAGCGUGCCUUUUGUAGAAUGAACCGGCGAGUUACGAUAUGAUGCGAGGUUAAGUUGAAGAGACGGAGCCGUAGGGAAACCGAGUCUGAAUAGGGCGCUUUAGUAUUAUGUCGUAGACCCGAAACCAUGUGACCUACCCAUGAGCAGGUUGAAGGUGCGGUAAAACGCACUGGAGGACCGAACCAGGGCACGUUGAAAAGUGCUUGGAUGACUUGUGGGUAGCGGAGAAAUUCCAAACGAACUUGGAGAUAGCUGGUUCUCUCCGAAAUAGCUUUAGGGCUAGCGUCGACAUUAGAGAUUCUUGGAGGUAGAGCACUGUUUGGGUGAGGGGUCCAUCCCGGAUUACCAAUCUCAGAUAAACUCCGAAUGCCAAUGAAUUAUGGUCGGCAGUCAGACUGCGAGUGCUAAGAUCCGUAGUCGAAAGGGAAACAGCCCAGACCACCAGCUAAGGUCCCAAAAUAAUUGUUAAGUGGAAAAGGAUGUGGGGUUGCACAGACAACUAGGAUGUUAGCUUAGAAGCAGCUAUUCAUUCAAAGAGUGCGUAAUAGCUCACUAGUCGAGUGACCCUGCGCCGAAAAUGUACCGGGGCUAAAACAAUUUACCGAAGCUGUGGAUACCUUUAUAGGUAUGGUAGGAGAGCGUUCUAUGUGUGAAGAAGGUAUACCGUGAGGAGUGCUGGAACGCAUAGAAGUGAGAAUGCCGGUAUGAGUAGCGAAAGACAGGUGAGAAUCCUGUCCACCGUAAGACUAAGGUUUCCAGGGGAAGGCUCGUCCGCCCUGGGUUAGUCGGGACCUAAGGAGAGACCGAAAGGUGUAUCCGAUGGACAACAGGUUGAUAUUCCUGUACUAGAGUAUGUAGUGAUGGAGGGACGCAGUAGGCUAACUAAAGCAGACGAUUGGAAGAGUCUGUCUAAGCAGUGAGGUGUGAUAUGAGUCAAAUGCUUAUAUCUGUAACAUUGAGCUGUGAUGGGGAGCGAAGUUUAGUAGCGAAGUUAGUGACGUCACACUGCCAAGAAAAGCUUCUAGCGUUUAAACAUACUCUACCCGUACCGCAAACCGACACAGGUAGUCGAGGCGAGUAGCCUCAGGUGAGCGAGAGAACUCUCGUUAAGGAACUCGGCAAAAUGACCCCGUAACUUCGGGAGAAGGGGUGCUGGCUUAAAGUCAGCCGCAGUGAAUAGGCCCAAGCAACUGUUUAUCAAAAACACAGCUCUCUGCUAAAUCGUAAGAUGAUGUAUAGGGGGUGACGCCUGCCCGGUGCUGGAAGGUUAAGAGGAGUGCUUAGCGCAAGCGAAGGUAUGAAUUGAAGCCCCAGUAAACGGCGGCCGUAACUAUAACGGUCCUAAGGUAGCGAAAUUCCUUGUCGGGUAAGUUCCGACCCGCACGAAAGGCGUAAUGAUUUGGGCACUGUCUCAACGAGAGACUCGGUGAAAUUUUAGUACCUGUGAAGAUGCAGGUUACCCGCGACAGGACGGAAAGACCCCAUGGAGCUUUACUGCAGUUUGAUAUUGAGUGUCUGUACCACAUGUACAGGAUAGGUAGGAGUCUAUGAGAUCGGGACGCCAGUUUCGAAGGAGACGAUGUUGGGAUACUACCCUUGUGUUAUGGCCACUCUAACCCAGAUAGGUGAUCCCUAUCGGAGACAGUGUCUGACGGGCAGUUUGACUGGGGCGGUCGCCUCCUAAAAGGUAACGGAGGCGCCCAAAGGUUCCCUCAGAAUGGUUGGAAAUCAUUCGCAGAGUGUAAAGGUAUAAGGGAGCUUGACUGCGAGAGCUACAACUCGAGCAGGGACGAAAGUCGGGCUUAGUGAUCCGGUGGUUCCGCAUGGAAGGGCCAUCGCUCAACGGAUAAAAGCUACCCUGGGGAUAACAGGCUUAUCUCCCCCAAGAGUUCACAUCGACGGGGAGGUUUGGCACCUCGAUGUCGGCUCAUCGCAUCCUGGGGCUGAAGUCGGUCCCAAGGGUUGGGCUGUUCGCCCAUUAAAGCGGUACGCGAGCUGGGUUCAGAACGUCGUGAGACAGUUCGGUCCCUAUCCGUCGCGGGCGUUGGAAAUUUGAGAGGAGCUGUCCUUAGUACGAGAGGACCGGGAUGGACACACCGCUGGUGUACCAGUUGUUCUGCCAAGAGCAUCGCUGGGUAGCUAUGUGUGGACGGGAUAAACGCUGAAAGCAUCUAAGCGUGAAGCCCCCCUCGAGAUGAGAUUUCCCAUCAUUUUAAAUGAGUAAGACCCCUGAGAGACGAUCAGGUAGAUAGGCUAGAAGUGGAAGUGCCGCGAGGCAUGGAGCGGACUAGUACUAAUCGGUCGAGGACUUAACCAC